RNAcentral lists this ribosomal RNA (425 nucleotides) under uncultured bacterium. RNAcentral describes it as "partial 16S ribosomal RNA". It matches the Rfam family "Bacterial small subunit ribosomal RNA", at positions 359 to 776 of the family's 1533-position model. The record is from RNAcentral.
GAAUAUCGGACAAUGGGCGAAAGCCUGAUCCAGCUAUGCCGCGUGUGUGAAGAAGGUCUUCGGCUUGAAAAGCACUUUAAGCUGGGAGGAAGGGCAGUAAGCGAACACCUUGGUGUGUUGAAGUUACCGACAGAAUAAGCACCUGCCUACCGGGUGCCGGCAGCCGCGGUAAUACAGAGGGUGCAAGCGUGAAUCGGAAUUAAUGGGCGUAAAGCGCGCGUAGGUGGUUCGUUAAGUUGGAUGUGAAAUCCCCGGGCUCAACCUGGGAACUGCAUCAAAAACUGGCGAGCUAGAGUAGGGCAGAGGGUGGUGGAAUUUCCUGUGUAGCGGUGAAAUGCGUAGAUAUAGGAAGGAACACCAGUGGCGAAGGCGACCACCUGGGCUCAUACUGACACUGAGGUGCGAAAGCGUGGGGAGCAAACAGG